UGGUUCUGGCAUCGAUGAAGAACGCAGCGAAAUGCGAUAAGUAAUGUGAAUUGCAGAAUUCAGUGAAUCAUCGAAUCUUUGAACGCACAUUGCGCCCGCUGGUAUUCCGGCGGGCAUGCCUGUUCGAGCGUCAUUUCCACCCUCAAGCCUUAGUUAGCUUGGUGUUGGGGCUCUGCUCGUUAUACAGCAGACCCUGAAAUAGAGUGGCGGGCUCGCUAAGACUCUGAGCGUAGUAAACUCUUCUAUCGCUUUGGUAGGAUUAGUGGUGUCCCGGCCGUAAAACACGUCUCCGGACAGCUAGAAAUUUUGACCUCGGAUCAGGUAGGAAUACCCGCUGA
This 338-nucleotide unclassified non-coding RNA is filed under the name uncultured fungus. Its description in RNAcentral is "partial contains 5.8S ribosomal RNA and internal transcribed spacer 2". The stretch from base 1 to 133 matches the Rfam family "5.8S ribosomal RNA", at positions 22 to 154 of the family's 154-position model. The record is from RNAcentral. Lineage: Eukaryota; Fungi.